Molecule: small RNA, 467 nt
Filed under: Pan troglodytes (chimpanzee)
Lineage: Eukaryota; Metazoa; Chordata; Mammalia; Primates; Hominidae
Description: processed transcript
Source: RNAcentral
GGUACCUGGCCAUGGGGCUACCAGCAAGGAUGUGCAAAGGAAGAACCGCUGCCCCUGCCCUCAGCUUCCUUAUGCCCGAGCCACUACUUAUCCGUGAAUAAGUUCUCUUUCUCUUUGGAAGAAGCCGAGGGCCUUAACAAAUCAGACUGACCUCUCUUGUGACAGGCAGCCUCGCCUGCCCUUGGAAACAAGCUGCCAGAAUGUGAGGGCCACAGAGACCCAAGAGAAGCCAGCACUGCUAGACUGAGGAACUUGUAAAUAUCUUCUGCUUUCUUGGUGAACAAGGACAGAGGCAAUUGCGUGUAUAUUGUGACUGUAGUUUGUGAAGAAAAUGCAACCGUUUGCUUCGACAGCUCCUCAAAUGUACUUGUUAAGUGUGAAUGUGCCUGCCUCAUUGCCUUGUGUUCCAAACACAGUACUGAAUGCGUUGUUUUUAAAUAAACCGUUUUGUUUUGCUUUGGGAAACA